GUAGGUGGCAGCGUUGUCGGAAUUAUUGGGCGUAAAGCGCGCGCAGGCGGUUCGUUUAAGUCUGAUGUGAAAGACCCACGGGCUCAACCGUGGAGGGUCAUUGGAAACUGGAGAACUUGAGUACAGAAGAGGAAAGCGGAAUUCCACGUGUAGCGGUGAAAUGCGUAGAGAUGUGGAGGAACACCAGUGGCGAAGGCGGCUUUCUGGUCUGUAACUGACGCUGAGGCGCGAAAGCGUGGGGAGCAAACAGGAUUAGAUACCCUGGUAGUCCACGCCGUAAACGAUGAGUGCUAAGUGUUAGGGGGUUUCCGCCCCUUAGUGCUGCAGCUAACGCAUUAAGCACUCCGCCUGGGGAGUACGGCCGCAAAGGCUG
Molecule: ribosomal RNA, 373 nt
Filed under: uncultured organism
Description: partial 16S ribosomal RNA
Rfam family: Bacterial small subunit ribosomal RNA
Source: RNAcentral